Long non-coding RNA from Candoia aspera, 1037 nucleotides. RefSeq lists it as uncharacterized. Lineage: Eukaryota; Metazoa; Chordata; Lepidosauria; Squamata; Candoiidae. The record is from RefSeq and is a predicted model, not a curated record. The transcript has 3 exons.
UGCGGGAAUGGUGCCCCCCAACCCUCUGCGUAUAAGGAUAGGGAGACUAAAAGGGUCGCUGUGUAAAGCCUUCGCAGGGCCUUUUUUCCCCACUCGGGGCGGAAUGCCAAAUACAGCGGAGGAAUGCUUGAUAAAUGCGGGGCCUCCUUUCUAAUUCUUUUGGGAUCAUCAUCAUCACCUUGUAUGCCACGUGACUCUCAAUGACUCUGGAUGGCUUCCAACAAUCAAAUAAAGAAAUUACAAUAACAUCAAUAAAGGAAUCUGAAUUAAAACGUCUCAGACAGAUGACUGUUGACCUGUGCUUGAACAGACCUGAGAAUGAGGAGCACAUCAUCCUACUGGGUAAUUGUUUCUAUUGUCAAUCUGCUCUUACUGUUAGGAAGUUAUUUCUAAGAUUAAAUUGGAAUCUGCCUUCUGGAAACUUAAAUCUGUCUGGCUUUAAUAAUGGUUUAGCGCACUGAGGACACAGCAAAUCACAGCCUCUUUUUGGUCAGGAUCCCAGCAAUUAUUCCUAUAAGGGGGUGGGGGGAAGGAAGCAAGGUUUUUUUUCAGUCCCCAUUAUUCCCUAUGAUGGAAUACUCAAAAUAUUUUGCAUUGUUUCCACUAGAAUACAGGCCACUUGAAAAGUUCUGAUGGAACAUUUUAAGUGGGUCUGUUUGGUUCCAAACUCAGAACAAAGCUCGUUUAUUUGGUUUUGUUUUGGGCAUACCACUAGAAAUUAUCCAGUACUCUGUCACCCAAAGGAAAUUACCCUAUUAAGCCUAUGCCUAGAAUUUGAGGAAUGGGACACACAUUAAGGAUAAUGGAAACCAAAGAAAGGGAGCCAACUUUGGAAUUCACUAGAACUUUUUUAGUAGCAUGGAAGCCACGAUGAAAUUGUUUUGCAGACUGAAUUAGGACAAACUGACCCCCAAAUACUUCAUGUUGUAAUCAGGCAUGCCAGGACAAAGAACCUCAAAUGUGUAAUACUGUGUGCUGACGUUUACUUACCUAUAAUAAAGAAAAAUUGCUUUCCUAUGCCUUGUAAAAUUCUAUCA